This is a long non-coding RNA of Cynocephalus volans (Philippine flying lemur), 3490 nucleotides long. RefSeq lists it as uncharacterized. The record is from RefSeq and is a predicted model, not a curated record. The transcript is spliced from 4 exons. NCBI's taxonomy places the organism in Eukaryota, Metazoa, Chordata, Mammalia, Dermoptera, Cynocephalidae.
CCUCCAGCCCAACAUGGCGGCGGCCGCCCUCGGGCCCGGGCUUGCCCUCGCGCGCGCCGGCGGGCGGGAAGACAGCCCGACCGCGCCAGGCCCCCUUUCGCCGCUGCCGCUGCUCGCUGAAGGAGUCGCCUUCCCGACGUGACUGACGGCCUCGCCGCGGAGCCCCAGAGCCCGCCGAGGACCGGGCGGGCGAGGGCCGGGCGGGCGAGUGCCGGAGGUGCGCUGAGGGUGCCCUGUUGAUAGUUCCUUGAGCUGUAAGUUGAUCUUCUGAAUAAAAGAUAUAUCCAUUAUUGAAAGCAGGGCAUUGAAAUACCUUACCAUUAUUGUGUUGGGUCUGCCUCUCUCUUCGGUUCUGUCAGUGUUUGCUUCAUAGACUGAAAUGCUUUGAUAUCAGGUGACUAUGAUGUGUAUAUGUGAAAGAUGCAUGGAUCUUCACCAUAAAUCUACAGUUGACACCCAAAUGCAGUGGCUCCCUGGCUUUGCUGUGUGCCAGAAUUGUGAGAGAAACUUGGGAAAAUACAGAUGUCCAGGCCCCACCCAAAAGCAACUGAAUCAGAGACUCCCAGGAAGGGCACCGGAUCACAUAGGAGGAAGUUAUCUCCACAAGGACAAAUAAGUGAAGAAAAGGCUCCCAGUGCUCAGCUGCCUUGUGAAUGACGCCCCUUUAGUCCUGUGGUGCUGCAUUACUUAUGUUUCCCAUCUGCUGCCCUUGUUUCCAGACUAUCUCUGCUCUCCACACCCUGGGGACCCACUCAGCUCCGUGGAGCGCACCAGCCGCUGCUCUAGUGAUGCCUGCGCUCGUGCCCCAGUGAAUGGCUGCCGCAAGCCCACCAGCCUCCCGGUUCAGGCCAUCAGGAGGGUGCUGACCUGCUGCAGGCCCUGCACUCUCGCUUCUGAGUCAGGCAUGGUUUGCAGCUUUCCUCCGCUGUGCCUGGGACCAGGCAGCAGGCUGGGCUUAUUGUUUCAAGUGGCACCAACUGUAAAAUUACAUGCCAGCUGCACAGCCUGCAUGAGAGACAACAAUUGUGGGGUGAAGACCAGAGGGCACAAGUGCCAAGGGCACUCCAUGGGGACUGUGGGCAGCUACCCAUGACUGCCAGCCUCGGCCAGGCCUCAGUGUCAAUACAGAGAAGGCCCAAGGAAAUAACAAAACACCUGGUCACUCCUGAAUGCUCCGUGUUGUCCCCUCCUCCCCUCCCAAGCACUGAAGAGACAAGCCUCCUGCUCAGGCACCCCGCAGACACUUUCCUUGCCAACACCUUCCUUUGCCACAGCUGCAGGGCCAGGCUGUGCCACCACCCGGUUGCUGUCUCUUCCCAAGGACAAGAGUCUAGGGGCUUAGGUGUGAGGUGGGGUGUUGGGACCAAGAACAAGCUCAGGACUGGUGGGCAGUACGCAUUAUACAAUCGAUCACCAUUUCUGAAGCUUUGCAAGCGAGAGCUCUGCUAUAAGACUAAAUGUUCUAACAGAAAAUUUUGUAGUCAUGUUGAAAUUAGGAUGGCUAAUGUUCAGCGCCACUAAGCCGAAGUGGAAAAGGAGGAAGAGGCCUGUAAAGGAGGUCCUCCUGCUGACGAUUCACACCUGCCACCGGGUGCCAAAGUGGCUAAAUUGCAGGGCUUGGGGGUUUUAGUGUUUGUUUUUUAUUUUGGACAGAAAAAAAAAUUUCUUGUUAUAAAAGCAUCCUUCAAGAAAAGAAAAGAAAUACACUACCUACUGAACUCUUUCUUUAUAUAGGCACCGGGCUAACGCUGUAUCUACUUUAUCUGACUCAAACCUCCUAAUACCCUGUGGGAAGUAGUUAUGAUUCCUAUUUUGUGGAUGAGCAGCCUGAGGCUCAGAGAAAAAGGGGCUUUUCAAAGACCCUUCAUCUAUUCUCCUAAGGUUAGACACCUGGGAACAAAAGACCAUUCUCACCUAGCAACAGGGAUGCCUUUCAAGGCCUCUUGACUAGGCUCUCAAACAGCAGCCAUUCUUGCAAAGGGACAUUCAUCUGGCUCCUCCAGGCCCCAGAGGGAGUCAACUCACUGGUCAAGGGGCCCACUGUGAAGAUGGACCCAGGAGGUUUCAUAGCCACAGGGAUGUUGGCUCUUUCUGCAUACCACAGAAGGCCCUGUCCCGCAAGAGAUUUGCACUCCUGGCCAAAAUGGAGAAGCGGAGACCAAACUAACUCUCCCUUCUGAAACAGCAGAUAGAUAGAUAGAUAGAUAGAUAGAUAGAUAGAUAGAUAGAUAGAUAGAUAGAUAGAUAGAUAGAUAGAUAGAUAGAUAGAUAGAUAGAUGGAUGGAUGAUAGAUAGAUAGAUGAUAUAUAGAUGACAGAUAGGAAAUAGAUGGUAAAUGAAAGACAUGAAGCAAUGGUUUUCAAGACACUGGACAUAAGGUGAUGGAGGAUUCCUAAGAGAAAACAAAUGAGAUGAACUCUACAGUUGCCCCCAAUGUACUAUUUUGAGAGUUUCCAGUCUACAGCACAGGGAGGGGGAACUGAGGCAGAGCCCAGCAGAUUCCUUGACAGUUGAGGAGAUGGAGCUAAUAGUUCUAAGAGACCAAGGAAGCUAGAAUUUAUAGGGCAGAGUGGCAGAAAGGAUAGAGCUGCACAAGAGAGAACUCCACUCUUAAGUGUAUACCCAAAAGGAUUUAAAACAGGUGCUGAGACAAAUCCUCAUAUAUGAAUAUUCAUAGCCAAAAGGUGAAAACAACCCGGAUGUCUCUCAAGAGAAGAAUGAUAAACAAAAUGUGGCAUAUGCAUUCAAUGGAAUAUUAUUCAGCCAUAAAAAAGAAUGAAGUAGUGAUACAUACAAGGACAUGGGCAUACCCCCAAAACACUAUGCUAAUUGGAAGAAGCCAGACACAAGGUCCACAUACUCUGUGAUUCCAUUUAUAUGAAACAUCCAGAAUAGGUAAAUCAAUAGAGACAGAAAGAGGUUGGUUAUUGUCAGAGGAGGGAACGGGAGUGACUACUCAGGGGGUACUGGGUCUAAUUUUGGAGCAGUAAAAAUGUUUUGGAACUAGAUAGAGGUGAUAGUUGCACUGCAUUGUGAAUGUACCAAAUGCCAUUGAAUUAUUUACUUUAAAAUGGUUAACUUUAUGUUAUGUAAAUUUUUACCUCCAUGAGAAAAAAAUUUGAGAUGAAAUAAAACCACAAAGAACCACGAGAUAGCACCACAUGCCUGUUAGAAUGGCUCAAAAUAAAAAGAUUGACCAUACCAAGUAUUGAUGAGAGUGUGGAGGAACUGGAACCUCAUACACAGCUGGUGGGAAUAGACCAACACCCUGGGACAGUUUUGCUAUUUCUUAAAAUAUCAGCUACACCUACCAUGUGACCCAGGGUCAAGUUCACUGACUUGACUGUGGUGAUGUUUUCACAGGUGUAUAGCAUGUGAAAAAUUUAUUAAGUUGUACAUUUUAAAUGUAUAUAGUUUAUUAUGUGUCAAUUAUACCUCAAUAAACCCUAAAACUUUUUUAAAUAAAAAUAUAUAAAGACGUAAGAAGGAU